CCCAAGUAGCUGGGAUUACAAGCGCCUGCCAACACGCCCAGCUAAUUUUUGUAUUUUUAAUAGAGAUGGGGUUUCACCAUUUUGGCCAGGCUGGUCCUGAACUCCUGACCUCCUGAUCCACCUGCCUCGGCCUCCCAAAGUGCUGGGAUUACAGGCGUGAGCCACUGCGUCCGGCCUUGCCUCACCGUUAAAAGACUACAAUAUGACGUGAUACAUCAGCUUUUUCGAAGUCCAGUGUACGUCAGACCCUGAGGCCUGCAGUAUCUGGAAUGGUGUUGCUGGAUGUGCAAAACUGCCAGGCUCUGGCUUGUGGUGUUCUCAUCUACCAGAUCAUUCCUGGGAGGCCCAAUUUGGCCAGCUGGCUCACCUCUGCCGGUGGUAUUGCUAGCAUUGCACAUUGGAACUGCAGCUUGGGAAAGUGAUAGAAACCAAACACAUGGUGGGUACAAAGCAAGUUUGUUGUAUUUUAUCCACAUUAGUAUUUUGGAUGUUUCAAUAUUUAAACAUUUCAAAAAGCAAAAUCAAUGAUAAUACUUCUUGAAUGUGUUGUGAACAAUGCAAGCCUUUUAUUAAAAAUUAUGGAAUAUUCGAAAGAAAUGUUUUUCUUACAAGAGAGCAGAGAAUAAUUACUCAGGGUUCCUGUGUCAAAGCCUCUAGGGCCCCUUUACUGUCCAGAAUUCUUAGUAAGUGGAAAACCUUUCCCAAGCACAAUGAAGUCUCAACCCUGAUACGGGCAGGACAGCAAAAGACCUGUCUCCUCUUUCCAGAGCAAACCCCAGUGGUUGCACCUGUCCUCCCAUUACACUUUGGGGAUAAACCCUGGAGGCCAUAGUGUAGGGGACCAGUUUCAUGGGUCUUGUUGCCAAAGCUUACUUUUUUGAUCCUACUGCUAAAUUCUGACCCUUCCUCCAAUUGAUCUGCUUUCCAAAAAGAGCAUACCAACACCUGCACAAACCAUUUGAUGUGGUGCAGUAAGCUGUUUCAUCCAAGUGUUCCAAAGCCAUAGGAUGAGCAAGGGGGAAAAACUUAGACCUGUAUAGGAUCUUCCCCCAGGUAGUUACUCUUUCACAGGGGGUGCAUGGGAGACAGGCUGCUGUUGUGCCAUCCUUUCCAUUACAUAAUGAUAACAACUGUUACUUGGAAUGCUUUAAUGCUUGAUGUUAUUUAUGUUUAAAUAUUUGCUGUAUUCCUGGCUCUGUGCUAAAUGCUAUGCCUGCAUCUUAAAAAAUCCUUAAAAUAACUCAAGGUAGGUACCAUUGUUGCUUCCAUUCUCCAGAUGGGACACUAAGACUUUAAGAAGUUAAAUAGCUCACCUGAAAACACACAGCUAGUAAGUAACACAAUGGAGACUUGAACCCAAGUCUAUUCUACUCUAGACCAUGGACUCCAAGAUUAAUUAAUUAUGCAAAUAAGGAAUGUGGAGAGUUCAGCCUUGAGCAAAGGGAGAUUAGCUUGUUUUGCACCAACUCUUCUGCUGAGGAAAGGACAAAAGCCAGAAUAUACAUACCUAUUCAGGGAUCAGAGGGCUGUUGAGAAAGCAAGGGCUAAUAUUCGAGAGACCUACAUUUGAUACUGUUCGUUUCCCCCUCAAGGGACUUGCUAAUUCAAGGGCAGGGGCUGAGAAACUGAACAGAAUUUGUAGAAGACUAAUGCAGACCAAAAAUUAGAGUUGGGGUCCAAGUAGAAGCAGCCCUGGAAAACACCCCAGACUUUCUCGUGGGACCCCAAAGAGCUACUCUUUGAUUAAAGGUGAAUUGGUUAUGGGCCUGUCCUCACAAGGACUGAAGCCCAGCCUCAGAUCUAGUGGAUAGCCAGAAGCAAAAACAAAGCCCCUCUGAAGGAGGACAUGGUCUAAUUUCUCAAAUUUUCUCUAUUAAUUGUUUUCAAAGUCUGCUUAAGAAAUAGGAAUGCAAAAACACAAGAUUCGACCAACAAUGAGAAAGUGAACAAUAGAAACAGACCUCCAGGAAAUUCACGUAGUUAACAUUAUCUGACCGGUGUCUUACAAUAACUAUGAUUAAAAUGUUCAUGAAUUAAAUGACCAAAUGGAACAACUUCAGGAGAGAACUGGACACUAUGUUUAAAAUUCUAGAAUUGAAAAAUAAUAUAACAAUUUAAGAAAUCAGUAGAUGGCUCUGAUAGACACAACUUAAGAGAUAGGUAAUGAAAUGAAAGAUAAGAAAAUAUCCAGACUGGUGCUGGGGGUAAAUAGGAAGACAACUAUUCGAAGAGUUAAUGGUUAAGGUUGUUCCCAAAUUAAUGAAAGACAUUAAGCCACAUAAAUAAGAAAUGCUGUUGACCUCUAAGCAGGAUAAGUUACAAUGAAAGUUAUACUUAAUUACUUCAUAGUAAAACUACUGGAAAACAAAGACUAAUUUUAAAAGUAGCCAGAGGAAAAAUAUAUAUUACUUUCAAAGGAGCAACAGCAAGCCUUGAGAGGGAAUUUUCAGCAGAAGUAAUGAUAGUGGAAAAUGGAAUGGUGUUUUCAAAGAGCUUCAAGAAAAUAAUAGUCAACCUAGAAGACUAUGAGGCAAAAAUAUCCUUCCAAAGACACGUCCAGACAAAGGAAAAUAGAAUUUGCCACCAAUGAAAAGUACCAAAAGUAUGAAAGGAAAGUACUAAAGGGUGUUGUUGGAGCAGAAGGAAAAUGAUCACUGACCACAGCUGGAGGUGCAGAAAGGCAUUGAAAGGCAAUGGAAAGGGUAAGUAUGUGUAUAAAACUAAAUAAAUAUUGAAUGUGUGAAACAACUUUUUACUUUCUGGGGUCUUAAAUAUAUAAAGAACUAAAAUACAUCACCAAGAGAAGCACGUUAAGUGUGGAGGGAGGUAAAUGUAGGGGUCCCCAACAUUUCUGGCACCAGAGACCAGUUUUGUGGAAGAUAAUUUUUUCCCAGACAGUGGGUGGAGGGGUGGAGGGAUUGGGAGCAUGGUGUUGGGAUGACACUGUCCCACCUUAAAUCAUCAGGCAUUAGAUUCUCAUAAGGAGUGCACAACCUAGAUCCCUCACAUGCACAGUUCACAAUAGGGUUAGCGCUCCUAUGAGAAUCUAAUGCUGCUGUUGGUCUGACAGGAGGUGGAGCUCAGGCGGUAAUGCUUGCUGGCUUGCCACCCAUCUCUUGCUGUGCAGCCCAGUUCCUGACAGGCCACUGACCAGUACUGGUUCACAGCCUGGGGACUGUGGACCCCUGGGUAAAUGGAAUUAAAGUAUUCUGAAGUCCUUGAAUUGUCUUGAAAGUGAAAAUGGUGGAGGCACUGAUUUAUAUUAGAAAUUAAUAAAUCAGGGGUACAUGUUUCAGUUUCUACGGUAUUUUGUAAAAGAAUAAGAGUAUGUAAAACUAACAAGAUAACAGAAGGAGAAUAUGAAAUAAAAUAAUCCAAAGGAAGGCAAAAAGAAAAAAAGGCGCAUAGAACAGAUGGGAACAAAUAGAAAACAAACACCCACAUGCAUCAAUCUCUACAUCAAGCAUAUGUGGACUAAAUAUUCCAAUUCAAAGGCAAUAUUAUUAUCACCCUGGAUAAAGAACAAAUAUAAUUCUCUGAGACUUAAAAACAACAUACCUUAAACAAGGAUACAGAAAGAUGGAAAGUAAAAGGAUGGAAAAAGGACUAUCAUGCAAGUAUUAACCAAAAGGAAGCUGGUGUAUUUAGUACACGAAGUGAACUUUCAGGUAUUACCAGAGUAUGAAGGAUAUUUCAUAAUGAUAAAGGGCUUGCUUUACCAGUACUAUACCGAUGGCUGAGGUAUUUGGGCUGUCUGUGAGGCUCAGAUGGGCUGCCUGUGGCCCUGCCUCACCUUGGAGAUGGCCCAGGAAGCUAACUGAGACUUGGAGUUGGUCGAAGAGGAGCCAGACUCUAAAUAUUUGAAGAUUGUGUGCGUAUGUGUGUGUGUGUUUAGGGGAAAACAUGAGAGGUAGAGUACUAUUCAAAAGGACAAGAAGUGGAACAUUUUCUUUUAUAAAUCAAAUAAAUGGUGGCUCUGAGCCUUCCCCCACCUCCUGCCUUUUUUGGGUCCAGAUUGCUAAGAAAUGUUAUUAAUGAUAGCUCACACUUACGACAUUAUUGCCUUCUAAGUGCUUUGUAGGUAUUAAUUUAUUUAAUCCUCACAACAGCCUUAGGAGACAGGCAUCAUCACUACCAUCGCCAUUUUACAGAUGGAAAAACCAGCAACCAUCAGAGCUGGUAUUCAAAAUAAGCCAAUUCAGAUUCCGAGUCCCGGCUCCUAACCAUGGAGUGGCCUCAGGGUUUUAUAGUUUGUCCGGCUCUUUGGAUGAACAUCACACCUCAUGGAGGAGAGUCCCUUCCAUUUUAACGGCUCCAGGUUGUCAUGGAAAUCCUCUGUAUACAAGAGGGUAAGGAGGAGGAUGAGAAGCAAUACAUGCUUAUUGGGACUUUCUAUCAUCCCAGGACUUAUCCAGGUCAUGAAAGACAAAGGCCGAGGAACUGCCCCAGACUGGAGGAGGCGGGAGACAUGGCAGCUGUGAAUGCACCGUGGGUCCUGAACCAGAAAAAGGAGCUCAGUGGGACGAUUGGUAACUUUUUGAUGCAAUCUGUCGAUUUUGCAUAUAGAAGACGGUAAUUUUAAAAACAGUGAAAGAAGAAAUGUAUCUGAGAAUUCAAUCAGUCAAUAGACUUUAGACAUCUGAAAAGAAAACACAAGAGGUUCGGUUGGUGCAAUGUUCCUUUCUUCCCAGGACUUUCUGGUCUUCAAGGCUUUCUCAUGAGACAGAAGACUGAUGGAUGUAGAAGUUUCUAAGAGGACAGUUACGCUGCCAUGUUUUGAAGCAGGAAGACGUUACCACUUCUCAAAGGUCUUUAAUUGCCUGACCACUGCUUCUCUUUGGAAGGCUGUCAGGGUGAUGGAAUCUCAGAUCACAGCACAGAUAAAAUGGACAAAGAAAGAAAGAUACAAGAAGGAUGUAAAAAUGUCCAUAAUGAACUCAUGUAUCUUGCGGAAACCUCUAAUCUAAUGAGAAUGGAUUUUGUUGAGAAGAUUGUACACCAACAAUUAAUUAUUCAUGGCAGAGA
This 5025-nucleotide long non-coding RNA is filed under the name Homo sapiens (human). RNAcentral describes it as "HSALNT0340254". The record is from RNAcentral. Lineage: Eukaryota; Metazoa; Chordata; Mammalia; Primates; Hominidae.